CAAUGUCAGUAUCCGAGCAAUAUCAGAAGCUGGGCAGCAGAGAGCCAGGCUUUGAUCCUAGGGGAAAGGAAGAGGUCAGAGCAGGGCAGGCCCCAUACAGAUGAAGACUGGGACACUACUCAGGUUACAGAGCAUAGAUGGAGACAGAGCCUGGUUACAGGACUUGAGGACCCAUCCAGGACCAUGUCUGAGCAGCAGAGCAGACCCAGAGCCUGAGACAGAAGGCCAAUAGCAGGAAAGAUGCUUGCUACUGAGUCUUAUACCAGACAGAAAGCUGUGCAAGGGCAAUGAUCUUUCAUAGAGAAGUUCCUGGCACACAUUACCCGUGGUCAACCAGUCUGGAAGCAGAUGAUGUUCCAAGCUAUCAUCAGAAGGUCAAUAGGAUCCUAACGCUAUGUCACAUGCCCACAUCAUUCACCUCACCCCAUAUCAUCAUCAUUUUAUCAUCUCACAUCAUCAUAAGAAGGGUCCGUGCAGUACAAGAUUUUUUGAGAGACUAAAUUCAUGUAACUUUUAUCAUAUAUAAUACAUUGUUACAAUUGUUCUAUUUUAUUAUUAGUUAUUGUUGCUAAUUUCUUAC
Molecule: long non-coding RNA, 580 nt
Organism: Canis lupus familiaris (dog)
Lineage: Eukaryota; Metazoa; Chordata; Mammalia; Carnivora; Canidae
Exons: 3
Source: RefSeq, a predicted model, not a curated record